Molecule: ribosomal RNA, 463 nt
Filed under: uncultured bacterium
Lineage: Bacteria
Description: partial 16S ribosomal RNA
Rfam family: Bacterial small subunit ribosomal RNA
Source: RNAcentral
GAUGAACGCUGACAGAAUGCUUAACGCAUGCAAGUCUUUGGCGAAGCUGUGCUUGCACAGCCUAGCCAAGGCGGACGGGUGAGUAACGCGUAAGGAACUUGCCCUGCAGUCAGGGAUAACAGACGGAAACGACUGAUAAGACCUGGUAAAGUCAGGCGGACUCAUGUCCAGCCUGAUGAAAAGAGAUGCUGCAGGGGAGCCUUGCGUCCUAUUAGCUUGUUGGUGGGGUAACGGCCCACCAAGGCGAUGAUAGGUAGCCGGCCUGAGAGGGUGGACGGCCACAAGGGGACUGAGAUACGGCCCUUACUCCUACGGGAGGCAGCAGUGGGGAAUAUUGGACAAUGGGGGCAACCCUGAUCCAGCAAUUCUGUGUGCACGAUGAAGGUUUUCGGAUUGUAAAGUGCUUUCAGCAGGGAAGAAAAAAAUGACGGUACCUGCAGAAGAAGCGACGGCUAAAUACGUG